This 484-nucleotide ribosomal RNA is filed under the name uncultured bacterium. RNAcentral's name for it is "partial 16S ribosomal RNA". It matches the Rfam family "Bacterial small subunit ribosomal RNA", at positions 29 to 523 of the family's 1533-position model. The record is from RNAcentral.
AGUGAACGCUGGCGGCGUGCUUAACACAUGCAAGUCGAACGAGAACGGGUUAUAGCUUGAUAUAAUUGCCAGCUAAGUGGCGCACGGGUGAGUAAUGUAUAGGUAAUAUGCCUCUUACUAAGGGAUAACAAAUGGAAACGUUUGCUAAUACCUUAUACUCCUUAUUAACAGAAGUUAAUAAGGGAAAGAUUUAUUGGUAAGAGAUUAGCCUGUAUUGUAUCAGUUAGUUGGUGAGGUAAUGGCUUACCAAGACUAUGACACAUAACUGGUUUGAGAGGAUGAUCAGUCACACUGGAACUGAGACACGGUCCAGACUCCUACGGGAGGCAGCAGUGGGGAAUAUUGCACAAUGGACGAAAGUCUGAUGCAGCAACGCCGCGUGGAGGAUGACACAUUUCGGUGCGUAAACUCCUUUUAUAUGAGAAGAUAAUGACGGUAUUAUAUGAAUAAGCACCGGCUAACUCCGUGCCAGCCGCCGCCGUAA